RNAcentral lists this small RNA (32 nucleotides) under Arabidopsis thaliana (thale cress). RNAcentral describes it as "ATSL189320". The record is from RNAcentral. Lineage: Eukaryota; Viridiplantae; Streptophyta; Magnoliopsida; Brassicales; Brassicaceae.
UUUUUUUCUUCUUCUUCUUCUUGUCUUAACCU